CCAGAAGCUGCCCGUGACUUCAUCCUGCGUUCCCUUCCCAUACGCCUCGUCUUCCUCCGACUCGUUCCCCACCCAGCUCACAGCCUCACACCCCCAUACAGCUGCGAGUUCAACGCUUCUCCUUCCUAAUCAGAGCAGUUCCCAUAUGCGUGCAUGGCCAGAGCGAGCGGAAGCCGUCGGCGUAGCCGCCGGAUGCGUCGAGGCGGCAAGAUGCCUGGCGACGGCGACGCUGUAAUGAAACCCCAUGGCCAGGGGGUUGUCAAGCAUGCUGGCCGUGGGAUCCGUAGGCGCGGCGGUGAUGGGGGCCUCAGACAAGUCAUCAACACAGGCAGCGCCGACUCUGAGGUCGAGCACCCAAGCAGCACCGAUUCGGCCAGCGAGGGAUGGAUCUACGUGCCGCCGUCAUCUCCCUCUCAUCUCGUCCUCCUCGACAGCCACCACUCCUACUACACUGCCGUCAUCGUCCUCCUCCCUCCACUCAGACAUGGUAGGCGCUGCGCCGCUGCCUCUCUGCUCUAGAUCUGGAUGGCACCGCCACCCUCAUCCAGAUCCUCCGCCUGACGGCCGCACCUAGAGAGGGGGCAAGGCGAGCAGAGGAGGAGAGAGAUACAAUAGGAGGGGGAGGGCCCGAGACCGGGGGGCGACGCGGCAUGGUGCCAGCAGCGCGUGCGGCGGAGAAGGUGUAGGAAGUGCAGGACACCGGGGCGGCACUACUGAUGCGGGCACGGAAACAACUUGCAUAAAGUUUUACUGACUUAUUAUUCCUUUCUUACACGGAAACAACAACAUUCUAAGCACUUGUUUAUUUCUGCAGGUAUGCCUUAGGAAAGAUCUGCAACGGCUUCUAUGAGAAUCUGUAAUUAUUGUGAUGGAUUUUGCACAUGAUCUGUUAUGCAUUGCAUUCCUAGGAUCAGUUGGCCUACAUUGAGCUGAGAGGAAAGGAAGUAGCUAGGAGGUAUAUGUAUAGCCAUUUAUUCUAUAAAGCAACCAUUACUUUGUAGUUCUGGAGGAUACUCUAUGCAAUCACUUACAGUUCAACACUGUUGUGUAUUUUGAUCAUGAGAACUUUCUGUAUAUACUGUGAAGUGUGAACUAUGUGUGUACUGCUAUGAAAUAUAUCAUAUUGUGAAACAUGGGAUUCAGAAAUGUACAGCGUGGAUCUAGAUU
This is a long non-coding RNA of Sorghum bicolor (sorghum), 1167 nucleotides long. RefSeq lists it as uncharacterized. The record is from RefSeq and is a predicted model, not a curated record. NCBI's taxonomy places the organism in Eukaryota, Viridiplantae, Streptophyta, Magnoliopsida, Poales, Poaceae. The transcript is spliced from 2 exons.